Non-coding RNA from Meleagris gallopavo (turkey), 7528 nucleotides. Lineage: Eukaryota; Metazoa; Chordata; Aves; Galliformes; Phasianidae. The record is from RefSeq and is a predicted model, not a curated record.
UAAAAUUAAGCCUCUAACUCAAUUUUCUGUAUUACUUUAAAACCUUAGUUUUGUUUUUCUUCAUAACAACAAAAGUCCAAUCCUGUAGGUCACACGUAGAACUGAAAUGCAUGUAAAUAUUAUCUCCAUUACCCUUAGAAGAUCUGGCCCAUGCUAAUUGUGGCCUUAUAGAUAGACAGGAAAGUAUGUAAUUGCAUUUGAUGAAAAGCUAGUCAUUUUCAUAAAUGAUUAAGAAAUAUCAUUCAUUAGCAGGUGUAAAUAUAUAAAGAGUAAUGGUGUAAUAUACACCCCAUCAAAGGGUAAUGCUUUCCUAAAUGCCAGAGAUUUUAGUUCCAUAGCCUUUUUUUACAGUUUCUUUAUGUUUUGUAAUAGUUUCCUGAUUGCCAAACAGACGUCUGAAUUCACUAACUCUCUUAUUAAAACUCAGUUUGAUAGGUUCAGACUGCAGCAAAUCAUAAACUAAUCUUCAUUUGUUUUAAAUUAUUCAAGAGGAAAUGAGACCCGGUAGAGUGCUUCUGUCUUGAGCCUGGAAUAAAGGCAAUGAAAAAGCACCAUUUAGUUCAAAAUGAAACACUAUCAAAUAAAGUGUGCUUCUCACUUAUUGUUGCUUAGAUAUUAACAUGUAUCAUGAACAUGGCUAGGUUUAUAUCUGCACAGAUAAACUCCAUUCAACAACAAAAAAUGAUGGGCAUUUCUGUAAAAGUGUCAGAAAAACUAACCUGUUACCACAUAAAAAUACAUGCAGCACUGUGAAUGCUUUAUUUUAAUGAAUUUAUUGCAUUGCUUAUCCCAAGCUGUGAGGCAGACGACAAUGAUUUAUAACCCACAGAGCAGAAGCCCUGAGAGGAUGAUGAAGGACUGUUUCUCCUCAUUAUGCCAGCAGAGCUUCUUUUCAUCUCUUCUCUUACUCUCUGUUCAUUGUUUGCCCUUGGCAUCAUCAGUCAACAGGCAGUACAGUUUACAAAUACUGUUUUGGCUGACAGAAAAUAAAUUGUUUGGUCACUGAUGUAAAAUCUAUCAAAUUCCUACCAAGAAGCAUCUUGAAUCCCCCAUUCAAGCUCUUGUCUGAGACUGAUCCAUAGCUUAGGUAACAUUUUACUUCUAAGAGAUAGAUUACUUCCCUUCUCAGUUGUUACUCAGAGGAAGAUGCAUUUCCUUUAAUCUUUCUGCAGGCAAAGGCUGACCAACUUCUAAGAGCUGUAGGAACUAAGUCAUUUGUCUCUGGAAAGUUGUUGUUGUUGUGUUUUUUGUUUGUUCUUCACAAAACCUGCUAAGAUAUCUCUAUGGAGAAAUAGCAUAGCAGUAUUUGCCAUUUCCAGUAAGCAAAUAUGAAUGACAACCAAUAAGAUAAUAAGUAGCUGGACUUUGCUGUUGAAAAGAAAACACACACAUCAGAGAUGUACUAGGAACAGGUUUGAAAAAAGAAACUAUGUUUUGUGUUUGUCUGCUUUGCAAUACUCACACAAAAUCAUUUAAACUAUAAAGCUGUGUUUGAAUAGCUUUCUGUGAUCCCCGUGCAAAUCAUUUGGCUACAAAUGACUGAAGCUUCUGAGUGGAACCAGAAUGUACCAAUAUUUAGUCUAAGAAAAUAAAUCUGGCUUACAAAUCUGAACAAAACACACUCUGGUACACUCUUCUGUACAUAGUCCAUUUAUGCAAGUGUGGUUGUUACUGCAGUAUGUCUACAGACAGUCUGGAAUGCAGGAGUAAAUAAAAGAAUUUGCAAAGUACAAAGACUGAAGAAGAGGCAUCUUCUAGUGCCAGACAAACCCAAAUGUUAAACUCUUGGGUCAAAGACUUGAAAAAUAUCCAUUAACAGUCAUUACUGAGAACAAUGGACAUUGCAUACUGAGACUGAGAAAAGAGUAAUUUACUCUGUCAGUCUACUAAAUCUAUAUCUUUACAUUUAUUCAAAUAAUUUGAAACACAUUUGAAAUCUUACCUUGCCCUGUUUUUUUCUAUACCUGAAAUUACUCCUGGGAAUGAGUUUGGAGUUAAAUAUGAAAAUAGACCAUUUCUUCGAUGUUCUGACCUAGUCUACAUUCCUGUUAACCAGAUUUACUCUAUGGCCCACAUGGUGGUGACAGCAGAGAUAAAAUCUUCUCCAGAAUAAAAAUGAGGAAUAGAACAAGUAUUUUUUCAGGAGUUUUGUUCUGUCCACAUUUCUUGAAAGUGUGAACAAGUAUUCUUCAUUAAGAACUGGAAUAAAAAUUUGCAUAAAGUAGCCGGGUGUUAAGAGUUUCAAGCCUCUGAAAGUUUUAACCCUCUUGAGUGUGUGUUCGUCGUGUUCCUUUAUCCACGCUAGUAGAGACUGCAGGACCUCCUGAAGGCUGAGGUGACAGGCGUAUCAGAGACCAUUUUCAUAUGUAUCACUAUUCAGUCUUGCCCUGUGUAAACAACAGUGCAUCAUCCCUGAGAACUGAACGCCAUUUCAGACUUCAGAAGACUAAGCUGUGAGGUGCUGAAGGGUCAGCACAAGAAACUGCAGUGCCACCUGAGACCUAACAGGUUAGGAGGGAGAUCCCAAUGCGCAAACAAAUCUGAGGUGGGGAAAAAUUAGAAUAAACUUCCUGACGCCAAGUUUAGCACUAACUUUGAUUCCUUUUGCGAUCAAUGUACAGCAGUCGAGCAUCUAAGUACCAGAGUCUCAAAUACCAGUGAAGAGUUUCACUGUCUGAGUUGUCUGGAAGUUUUAAACCUGCUGUUGUUUCAGAUGAGAUGAGGCUCAGCCCCAACUCGCCCCAAUUACUUCACCUGGUUUGCUUUUCAGAAAUGCAUCAGCAGCCAAUGCUUUUGGUCUAGUCUUAUUUCCUAUUACAACAUGCAUUCACAGAAGGAAAGCCUUGGCAGAUUCUGGUCCCCAGUUCAGGAUAAGAAGCACAUCAUGUGCCGUAGAAAAAAUCUGAGGGAGUUCGUAAUCCUGUUAAGCAACCAAGGAGGGAAGUGUGUUUUAGUUCUGUUAAGUUUUAUUAAGUGCCAUAUAAUAUCUAUCUCAUUCCUUCAUGUUUCGGUCCUUGGAUUGUCAGUGCUGUUACAAGUCUAGCUAUCAAGCUGUAUAAAGUAUUUGUUUCAUCAAACGAAUUUGUGCCUUGGCAGCCUCCUCAAACACUGAUGUUGGUGGAUUUUUAAAUUACUGAUACUUUCAAGACUGGCUGCUGAUGCCCAUUCAAUUUUCUUUUUAUCUUUCUGAGAGCACAGUAAUUUUCAGUGAUUUUCCCUCCUCCCCCCCUCAUUUUGGAGGAAACUAUAAACCGUCCUUCCAAAGGAUACCAGUGAUCGCCGAGGUAACAGAGCAGCGGCGUUGGCGUCUCCUGGGCAAUGGCGGGAGAUUUAAACGGGCGCAAGCGCUGAAGAAGCCCUUGAUCGCCAUGCUUAGCCCUUGAUCGCCGAUUUUAGUAGCUUCGGAGCUGUCCCGGCCAGAACCGCAGCGACUGAUAACGAGGUACAGGUGUGUUUUGGUCGGCUCCUUCAUCCAGAGAACCCUGAGAUUAACAGAGCAGCCCGGCGGGUCUCGUGAGGGCGGUUGACGCGGCUGACGUGGCGUGGGCGUUGCCUGGGCAACGGCUCUGCAUCCACACAGCCCCUGCCUGGGAAAAGCAACGAUGCAUCGCUGCCCAUCAGAGACGGAGAGGAGGAGUCAAGGCUAUUCUUACAAAAUCAAACUAAGCUUGAAAAUCAUCUGUUAACAGGAUGACAAAGAACUGGAAGAUUUUCAGAUGGUUCAUGAGAAACACAGCAGGAGCAACGGUAAAACAUUAAUUUGUUCAUUUCAAGAAUCUGCUGCUCUGCUGAUAGUGUCACAAGCCAUACUUGCAGUUGAACAGGUAGAAGGAGAAGUGCUGAGAUGUUCGUGUUCAAAUUUUCUCUAAGUUCUGUAUAAUUCCAGCCCUAGUUCAAAAAUGUUUAAAUUUUAAACAUGCUUCUUAGUAAAAUUUUAAUUAUGUUGCACUCUUUCAUGAAUGACAAAUCUUCUGUCCAGUGAAAUCAAAACCAAUCUGAAUGCCACACACAAAGUAAUAGAUAAAUGCAAGAUGAUUACUCUUUAUGGAUUUGUUCUUAACUCAGUCAUCAAUAGAGUUUAAACCAUAUAGAUUGUUUGUAUGUACUGUAACUUCUAAUAUUAGAUACUCAUUUGUAUAUCUGCAAUGCUUUGCAGCAUAAAAAUUACCAAAAUAUAGAUGGCCUCCAACCUUUACAUCCCUCACAAGACCUUCUCUGUUAAAAAACAGCAGAUCCAGGAUUGUGCUUCCCUUUGUUGGCUCCUUCUCCACCUAUGUCAGGAAGUUAUCUCCCACACACUCUAGGACUGCUCCCCAUCUGCUGUUGCAUUCAACCAACUCUCACAGGGCACAACAUUGGCACUGGCACAGCACUGUGCCAAAUCUGGGAAGAACACAAAGGGCUUAGAGGAGUUCCUGGCAAUGGGAGGUACGUUUCCAAGGCCUCAUGGGCACCACGAGGUCAGGAAUGCUCCUUUCAGCCAUGGGAAUAAAAGGCAUUCUACAAGGAUGUGUGCACAAACUCUGGAAAGGAAGGAGCACUCCUCCUCCUGCUGUACUAUAGGGCACUACUCCUCCCUCUCAGCACCUCCUGUCUGCCUCCAGGUGGAGAUGGGUGAAAGGCAAUGGCUGUGAUUUUUAUGAUCACAUGGCCUAAGUACCAGUGGGAACAAAUUUAAGAACAACUCAUUGCUUUCUGCAUUACAUGGAUGGUGGAAGGCAGCAGCCCCAUCCCAGGCCAGAACCAGCCCGGCUAACAAACAUGGUCAUGUAAACAGGGGCAGCCACAAGUUCUAAGAACCACAAUGCAGCUGAAACAGCCAUGUCUAAAGAGAACAGGGCUGGAGGUGGAUGGGUUCCAGAGCAGAUUUGGUGUCACAGCAGGACAGAAUGCUGAUCACAAGGGCAGAGACAGUCAGAGUUCUCUGCCCAGUAACCAAGGGAGUGAAGGCUGUGGUGGUCAGGAGCAGCCGAUGGGAAUGGAUGCCAGCUAAAACUCCUUUCCCACGCAGACACACAGAGAGAUAGGGAAACAGAAAGAUGGCAACAAGGACCAGAUGAUCUCAGAAUGAGCCUGAAAUGGCCAUGGAAACCAAAUCCAGACCAGCAACCCGUUUGUCAUCCUGAUACACGUGAAUCUUACCAGUGCAGCUUCCACUAAUAGCCUUUGUCUGGACCUCACCUGGCAUCGACUGGAGCAUGACUGCAUCAUGCCAUUCGUGUAUAGGCAGCCUCAGGAUCCGUACUGCAUUGACAUUGGCAGCUCCCUAUCUCCUUCUUGCUACAGACUUUACCAUGGACCUACACGCAGACAGAUUUUCUCCACAGAUAUUGGAUGCUGCACAUCAUUCACUUUAUUACAGAGUCAGGACCUUCAGUACUGCACAGAUCAGUGCCUCGAGGAACCAUAUGGAUUGUUUGUAUUGGAACUCUGAAUAUGAGAAUGGAGCAAGAUGGAUGGAUAGCUUUAAUUCAGAAAUACCAGAAGCACCACAUCCAGAAGAGAAGGAAGCAGCAUAACUGAUCAUGAUCCUGAGACCAGGGAUGGAAGUUUAGGAGCAAUGAAGACUUUCAGCCUUUCGGCCUCAACCCCCAGAUGACCACCAAGAAGCUAUCACAGAAUUAAAGAAAAAUUGAAAACCUUCCAAAUAAACUUUCUGAUUCAUUAGACCCAUGGUGCUUCUUCUAUCUCAUGAUAUCCAUACAAUGAACCUUUGCAGAGGGUGUUUCUUAUUGUCGUAAUCUCCUUGUAUUUAUGCACCUGUAUAUCACAGAAUCAUAGAGUGGUUCAGGUAGGAAGGGACCUUGAAGCUCACCCAGUCCCAACCCCAUGCCUAUAGCCAAGGACACCUCCCUAUAGCCCAGGUUGCCCACAGUGCCAUCCAGCCUGGCCUUGAUUGCUUCCAAUGGGGCACUGUCUUGCUCCAAUUUAUAGGAAGGAGAGGAGGUUGUUUUAAUAAAUGUACACCUGAUGGUGAGAUUAAGACACAAUGGGUCAAAUGUUAGCCCAACCAGUUUAUCACAAAUCCUAGUUGCUUAGUCUAGGCUUUUUCAGGUUUGGACAGGAACAUGGGCUAUUUUCCAUAUACCCUGGGCAAUCUGUUUAACAACUUUACCAUUGUCAUCAAUCUUUAGACAACAAUUAGAGUUAUUCAAUUUGCCACAAACACCCUGUUCUUCAGUUAAUAACUAAUCAAGAACCGUGUGAUGCUGGAGUAUUGCUGUUCACGUCUGUGUGCCUUGAUCUGCAAGAAGGUCAAGGGCAUAAGCCGUUUCAUUAGCAAUGAUUUCAAGGACUGCUUGUAAUCUGAUAAUAUGGUUAAGGUUAUAUGGGUUCUCGAGCAUCAUUAAUCAUUUCCCUGGGAUUCCAGGGAGCUGGCCCAUACUGUCUGAUUAUUCCCUGUGGGGGGCCAAUUAUCUUUGCCCCAGGUCUGGCCGCUACCACUUGUUGUGGAGGUGUCAACAGACCUUUGUUGUCAUUUGAGAUCAUCAUACACCUUGAUAUCUAAUUUGUUACCAUCAUUCCCUGGGAGCAGAAAGAACAGUGGACAGAUUACCCCCACAUAACAUACCCCAGUCCAACUUGCCAGUAGUUGUUUGUAUGUAUAAUGGCCACAAAUCCAGUAAUGUCCUUUUAGUGCUACUGAUCCAUUCUCAAAAGGUCUAUCCCAUUCAUCAGCCAGUUUACUUACAUGUUCCUUAGCAUUAUAGUAUGUGGUGUUUUGAGGUCCAGAAGGCUGUCCUGCCAUGUUACAGUUCCAGCCAUGACCAGUAUCACUCUCAUUCCUGCACCACUUACACCUCCAAGCUCCAGUGUCAGGUCUCCAGGCGCAUUUCAUACCUCCUUUAGUAAAGCUUUAGUAAACAGGGUGUUGUUGGUGGAGGACCAGAAGUGAGUGAACCCUUGUCCCACUCCCUACUGACUGUAUCACCCCCAUUGAUAGACAGUGGGGCUUUCCAGUAGGGGUCCCGUUUCAUAAGCAAUGUUAUCAUAAACCCAGGUGCAAUUGCUGAUCCCAACACAAAUACCACCUAGCUGAGCAGAAAUUUGCAUUCCUGUAUCUACCAGCAAUGUCAGUGGAACUAAAUUAGGUUCAACAGUGCAUUACAGGUCAUCUCCUUUUGUUGUGAGCUUUCUUCCUGUUCUCCCAGGGAACCUCAGCUUUUAUUUCAUUCAUAGAGUGACAGAAAAUCUUCUCUUCCCAUGAAGUUUUGUUUCCAUAGCUAAGGACUUGUUGUUCCCCAUCCAGCUUCAAGAUGCAUCUGAAAACGGCCUGUCUGCUAUGGUCAUUAAUUUAUAGAACAAUAGAACAAGUGUAAUGACUACAAAUACCAUAACUACCCAAGGAAUUGUCCUGAAGUCAACAGUUUGACUGAUGAGAUAAGGAGAUGAGAUCUCCAUCUUCAAAGAAGCAGAGUCAAGGCCUAGACCUGCUGAAGUGUCAACUAUGCGUGUUAACCUACUAUGUAUUAUUUCAGAAGAAUGAAAGAAUGCUCCUGGAUAUUAUACUGUAUAGACUUCUGUUAGU